AUUGAACGCUGGCGGCAGGCUUAACACAUGCAAGUCGAGCGGGGUGAUGGUGCUUGCACUAUCACUUAGCGGCGGACGGGUGAGUAAUGCUUAGGAAUCUGCCUAUUAGUGGGGGACAACAUCUCGAAAGGGAUGCUAAUACCGCAUACGUCCUACGGGAGAAGGCAGGGGAUCACUUGUGACCUUGCGCUAAUAGAUGAGCCUAAGUCGGAUUAGCUAGUUGGUGGGGUAAAGGCCUACCAAGGCGACGAUCUGUAGCGGGUCUGAGAGGAUGAUACGCCACACUGGGACUGAGACACGGCCCAGACUCCUGCGGGAGGCAGCAGUGGGGAAUAUUGGACAAUGGGGGGAACCCUGAUCCAGCCAUGCCGCGUGUGUGAAGAAGGCCUUAUGGUUGUAAAGCACUUUAAGCGAGGAGGAGGCUCUUUUGGUUAAUACCCAAGAUGAGUGGACGUUACUCGCAGAAUAAGCACCGGCUAACUCUGUGCCAGCCGCCGCUGUAA
Molecule: ribosomal RNA, 503 nt
Filed under: uncultured bacterium
Lineage: Bacteria
Description: partial 16S ribosomal RNA
Rfam family: Bacterial small subunit ribosomal RNA
Source: RNAcentral